ACAUCCAGAGAAUUUAGCAGAGAUGCUUUAGUGCCUUCGGGAACUCUGAGACAGGUGCUGCAUGGCUGUCGUCAGCUCGUGUUGUGAAAUGUUGGGUUAAGUCCCGNAACGAGCGCAACCCUUAUCCUUUGUUGCCAGCACGUAAUGGUGGGAACUCAAAGGAGACUGCCGGUGAUAAACCGGAGGAAGGUGGGGAUGACGUCAAGUCAUCAUGGCCCUUACGAGUAGGGCUACACACGUGCUACAAUGGCGCAUACAAAGAGAAGCGACCUCGCGAGAGCAAGCGGACCUCAUAAAGUGCGUCGUAGUCCGGAUUGGAGUCUGCAACUCGACUCCAUGAAGUCGGAAUCGCUAGUAAUCGUAAAUCAGAAUGUUACGGUGAAUACGUUCCCGGGCCUUGUACACACCGCCCGUCACACUAUGGGAGUGGGUUGCAAAAGAAGUAGAUAGCUUAACCUUCGGGAGGGCGUUUACCACUUUGUGAUUCAUGACUGGGGUGAAGUCGUAACAAGGUAAGCGUAGUGCU
RNAcentral lists this ribosomal RNA (526 nucleotides) under uncultured bacterium. Its description in RNAcentral is "bacterial SSU rRNA". It matches the Rfam family "Bacterial small subunit ribosomal RNA", at positions 984 to 1509 of the family's 1533-position model. The record is from RNAcentral.